UGUUUACACACCUCCUGGAUCCUGAUUGGUCGCUGCUUCAGCCGCAAGGCGCCGAUUGGAUGCUCACAGACCGUAAUACAGCGCAGAUGAACAUGAUUCAGACUACGGCGUUUAUAUGUUCAACAAUAGCAAACGUAGUCUUAGCUGUUUUAAAAUUACACCAAGUUUAUUUCGGAUUAUUCCAACGGAAGAAUACAAGGCGCAGGGAAGUUUGAGGUGCGUAAACGCCACUUAUAGGAAUGUUGAAGGGCUGCAGCUCGCAUGCUGCAGCGUGGCGGUUCAUUGAGUUUCUGAUUGACAGCGUGGGAGAGAAGAUGUCGUCUGUCGCCCAGCAGCAGAGAGAACGAACAGACAUUCGUAACUCUGGAGUUGCACUUGACUGCGUCAUUAGAGACGCUCACACGUCCCGAUGAACUUGGGGUUUGAAUUUGCUUUAUUUGUAGAGAAUUUAACUUGUUUGUGCUUUGAGUUGCCUGACAUCAUUUUUUAGAAGCAUUAAUCAAAAUGUUCCAUAUCGGAAACAUGUUCAUUGACUAAAUAUUCUCUUCUUCUUCCGCCUGAUGUCUGAUUACAGGAGGAAGUGAGUCAACAAUUGAAAUCAGGCUUAAAAUGUCGACUGAAACCUUUGUGUGUCAUUUAAUACACAAACGCUCAUUAACUCAAGAUCAUUGUUGUUUCACUUCAUUCAAGUAAACAAGUAAUAAAGAACAUGUGAUUCUCUUUGGUCUGAAGAAAACAAGACGGAUUCAUUUGGUUUUAUUUUUAUUAAAAGUAUUUUCAUUGUUAAAAUAAUAAACAGACGACAUAUUUAACAAUAAUAAUAACACAAUCAUUGGGAAAAUAUCUGAAGCAGUUCCUGAAAAGAGAGAAAAGAAAAGUUAUUAACAUGUUAAUGUUGUUAGUGUGUCUGUGUGUACAUCUAAAUGUUAGUGUGUCUGUGUGUACAUCUAAAUGUUAGUGUGUCUGUGUACGUCUAAAUGUUAGUGUGUCUGUGUGUACAUCUAAAUGUUAGUGUGUCUGUGUGUACAUCUAAAUGUUAGUGUGUCUGUGUGUACAUCUAAAUGUUAGUGUGUCUGUGUACGUCUAAAUGUUAGUGUGUCUGUGUGUACAUCUAAAUAUUAAUGUCUUUGUGUACAUCUAAAUAUUAGUGUGUGUCUUUGUUUAGUACCAAAUGUUAGUGUGUGUCUUUGUGUACAUCUAAGUGUUAGUGUGUGUCUUUGUUUAGAACCAAAUGUUAGUGUGUCUGUGUGAACAUCUAAUUGUUAGUGUGUCCCGAUGACGUAGCGUGCUGAUGGCGUCUUGUUGGUCUGCAGACAAGGAGAAGAGACGUGAGGAGGAUCAUCAGGAUGUGUCCGUGUGUACAUCUAAUUGCGUCCUGAUGGCGUCCCGAUGACGUGGCGUCCUGAUGGCGUCCUGAUGGCGUCCCGAUGACGUGGCGUCCUGAUGGCGUCCCGAUGACGUGGCAUCCUGAUGGCGUCCUGAUGACGUAGCGUCCCGAUGACGUGGCGUCCUGAUGGCGUCCCGAUGACGUGGCGUCCUGAUGGCGUCCCGAUGACGUGGCAUCCUGAUGGCGUCCUGAUGACGUAGCGUCCCGAUGACGUGGCGUCCUGAUGGUGUCCUGAUGACGUAGCGUCCCGAUGACGUGGCGUCCUGAUGGCGUCCCGAUGACGUCCUGUUGGUCUGCAGACAAGGAGAAGAGACGUGAGGAGGAUCAUCAGGAUGUGUCUGCGUCCUGAUGGCGUCCCGAUGACGUGGCGUCCUGAUGGCGUCCUGUUGGUCUGCAGACAAGGAGAAGAGACGUGAGGAGGAUCAUCAGGAUGUGUCUGUGUGUACAUCUAAUUGUUAGUGUGUCUUUGUGUACAUCUAAAUAUUAGUGUGUGUCUUUGUUUAGAAUCAAAUGUUAGUGUGUCUGUGUGUACAUCUAAAUAUUAAUGUGUCUUUGUGUACAUCUAAAUGUUAGUGUGUGUCUUUGUUUAGAACCAAAUGUUAGUGUGUCUGUGUGUACAUCUAAUUGUUAGUGUGUCUGUGUGUGGAUCUAAUUGUUAGUGUGUCUGUGCGUACAUCUGAUUGUUAUUGUGUCUUUGUGUACAUCUAAAUAUUAGUGUGUGUCUUUGUUUAGAACCAAAUGAUAGUGUGUCUGUGUG
This is a long non-coding RNA of Gasterosteus aculeatus aculeatus (three-spined stickleback), 2144 nucleotides long. Lineage: Eukaryota; Metazoa; Chordata; Actinopteri; Perciformes; Gasterosteidae. The record is from Ensembl.